GUUGAACGCUGGCGGCGUGCCUUACACAUGCAAGUCGAACGACAACACGGGUGGCUGCACCCUUUGACGAUUGCGGCAGGGGUGUGAAAUACAUCUGAGUAUCCCCCCUAGAGGGCUAUGGCCCGUCGGAAGCAGCGUUACUACCACAGACUAACUACGCAUGAAAGCGGGGUAGCUACUGACCUCUGGCUUUGCUGUCUGUCGAUGGCUGAUUAGCUAGUUGGUGGGGUAAAGGCCUACCAAGGCGACGAUCAGUAGCUGGUCUGAGAGGACGACCAGCCACACUGGGACUGAGACACGGCCCAGACUCCUACGGGAGGCAGCAGUGGGGAAUUUUGGACAAUGGGCGAAAGCCUGAUCCAGCAAUGCCGCGUGUGUGAAGAAGGCCUUCGGGUUGUAAAGCACUUUUGUCAGGAAAGAAAUACUUGGCCAUAAUACGGUCGGGGGAUGACGGUACCGGAAGAAUAAGCCCCAGCUAACUACGUG
RNAcentral lists this ribosomal RNA (486 nucleotides) under uncultured bacterium. RNAcentral describes it as "partial 16S ribosomal RNA". It matches the Rfam family "Bacterial small subunit ribosomal RNA", at positions 28 to 507 of the family's 1533-position model. The record is from RNAcentral.